Molecule: long non-coding RNA, 859 nt
Organism: Nilaparvata lugens (brown planthopper)
Lineage: Eukaryota; Metazoa; Arthropoda; Insecta; Hemiptera; Delphacidae
Exons: 3
Source: RefSeq, a predicted model, not a curated record
UCUCAACUCGAGUUCCGAACCUCAUAACCAGUUGAGCUCUCGUCGAGACAACACAGCUGAGAGGAAUCAUAGGGCAGUCACCUGAGAGGAAUCAAUCAUAGCAUAAUCAUCUACACCUGUAUCCUGCUAUCUACACCUGUAUCCUGCUAUCUACACUCGAGGAGAUUCACGCAGCAUCAAGCACUACAUCAUUUUCUCACCUCUCAACUCGAGUUCCGAACCUCAUAACCAGUUGAGCUCUCGUCGAGACAACACAGCUGAGAGGAAUCAUAGCGUGGUCACCUGAGAGGAAUCAAUCAUAGCAUAAUCAUCUACACCUGUAUCCUGCUAUCUACACCUGUAUCCUGCUAUCUACACUCGAGGAGAUUCACGCACCAUCAAGCACUACAUUAUCAUGCCGAGGGAACGCAGACUUCGUGGGAUCAAUUCAAGCGCAGUUCGCCAUCGCAUCAACCUCGAUGAGGAGGAUAUCGACAUCAGCAGUGUGCUCGAGAGCUCGAAACGUCGAGUUUUUGAUAUAAUUAGGGAACAUGCCGCACGCUAUGAUGGCAAUGUUAAAUGGUUCAUCGUCCUCAAUGUUUUGCUGUAUAAAUUAGUGGUGAUGGAUGACAAGCAGGUUGGUGACUCUGUCUCAUCUCUAAUAAAUCUACAUAGUUACUCCAACAUAGCACUAAAUGUGCUUGAGAACUAUGAAGAGUUUAAUGACCAUUUCAUGUUAGCUGUGAGAAAAAUUCUCUCAUCUUUUGAAAAUUUUGUAAGAUAUGGGAGUGGGUGGGUGCUAAAGAAAAUUGAAUCACUGGAUGUGAACGUGAUUAAAUUUAAUCCUAUAUACACAUCCAGUUUCAUUCAGACACCCCAG